Long non-coding RNA from Camelina sativa (false flax), 1565 nucleotides. RefSeq lists it as uncharacterized. The record is from RefSeq and is a predicted model, not a curated record. NCBI's taxonomy places the organism in Eukaryota, Viridiplantae, Streptophyta, Magnoliopsida, Brassicales, Brassicaceae.
GGUUAAACGAUUUCUCUAGGACAAACUCAGAUCUACCGUUACAAUCACUGCUUUCAGAUGUUCUUGGUAAUCUAUUGAACUGUCUUAACAAGGAAUUUUGUCCCAUGUAAACCCGGAUAUAAAACUGUUGAGGACUAUGAUUAAACCAAAGAUAAGUAUUGAAAUCAAUGUUAAGUUUAAACAGUUACAGGUUUUUAAGUUUACAAAACAAUAAUACGAAUUUGUUUUUUGGUAGGCUGAUUGUGAAUUUUGGUUAAGAUGACUACACUUAGAAACUGGCAGUCGAGUAAAGAAUACAUCAGCACUUGAUAUUUAAUCUAAAACUGUUGAGGACUACGAUUAAACCAAAGAUAAGUAUUGGAAUCAAUGUUAAGUUUAAACAAUUACGUGUUUUUAAGUUUACAAAACACUAAUACGAAUUUUUUUUUGUAGGUUGAUUCUAUUUUUAGAUUAUGAUGGCUACACUUUCAAACUGGCAGUCGAGUAAAGAAUACAUCAUCACUUGAUACUUGAUAUCAAACAGUUGAGGAUCACAAUAUCAAAGAUAAGAAACAGAUUCAAUUUUUUUGUUAAUACAAUUGCGGUUUUAAUUUAUAUAACUAAACUCUGAUUACAUUUUUUUUUUCUUUAGGAUGAUCCUGUUUUUCCAGUAAGAUAAUCAAAGUUACAAUUUGGAAGUGAAUCAAUGAAAAAGGCAUCUAUACUUUAUAUUGGUACAUCUCCAAGCUGAUUAUCGCAAUCUGAAAAUUCAGACUCAUUUUCUUCUGAAGAACUGCUGCAUUGGAAUUACGGAGAUAGUCUCCAGUGUUUGGUACUUCUUCAAAUAUAAUGGGAGCAUUGGGUUUUUUUUGCCUCGCCAUCAAUUUUGCUAGCCUUAACGAUGUUUUUGGUCUGAAUGAUUGGUGAAGGACAUAUCAUGCAAUGGGUUUUGCAAUGAGGAUAUUCCAGUAUUUGCAGUGGUCCCUGCAUCAAUGUAAUUUCAGAUUGAAGAUUCACAUCUACAAUACAUUGGGAUGUUGGUUUUUUCAUCUGUGCUGAUGCACGCUGGUCAGAGUUGGGAAUCGUCAAUAGAUUGCAUGCUUUGCACAUGAGGAUGAAUUGGCAAUUCUUGAAAGUAGGGAAGACACUCAACUUUAUCAGGAUAUAUAAAUUCUUCAAGGUGGUUUGGAAAAGGGGGAUACUUGGAGAAUAAAUGUUUUCAGGCCUUAAGAUCAGAGAGAUUUGUGAAAGCAUCAUUGGCAGCCAUCUCUUCUUAAAAGAUUAAAUGACGAAGUGAUAUGGAAAUUAUUUCCUUAUAGCAAAUGAUUUUACAAUCCGGAUACUUUGACAAUUACUACCUUGUGUCUCGGAGCUCAUCCUCUAAUCGUUAUGGAAAAUGGAUUACGGGAAGUAAACUGUUUGGAUACAUAUGUACCAUAUCAAAGAUCCGAAUAUGUUUAUUACCAAACAAAGAGGAUCCGCGUGUUUUUACCUUCUAAGAUUACCUCUUUGUCCUCAAAAAUUUUUUCCUUUGUACUUUGCUUUUUUAUUUUGUAGGGGCAUGUAAUGGAAUACUUGUUUUUUUU